GGUGGUUGUGGUGGUGGCGGCGGCGGUGGUCAUUAAUCAGUACAGAUACUAAAUUGUAUCACCAAAAUCUAGCUGGAGUUCUAAACUGAAUUGAAGGUAAUAAAACAAGAAUCUUAACGAUAAUAAAAUUAAAAAAAACAUAUUGAUUCAUCAAAAUAAAUAAAAACAACUUUUAUUGUAGAUCAAACAAUACUACUAGUACUGAAUGCUCAGUCACGGACUCUAGAGUCUUGAAGCAACGAUGAAGACUCAGCAAGACUCCUACGCAAGAGCCUUUAACUUCUCAACCAUGUCUGCAAUAUACUUAUUCUGAAUGUCUCUGUUCAACAAAAAUUCUCUCCAUUUUUUGUGACUUGAUCUAAUAGACUUGCAUGGAUCUUUCUCUAUUUCCAUCAUUACAAUUCUCACUGCUUCAUUAAUGUCAUCUUUCCCGAAAUACCCAUCUUCAUUUCUCCUAUUUACCUCCACACCUGCCUUCAUGUCUCCUGCAAAAACCUUAGAGUUCAAGAAUUGGUCACCCUUCAAAGGCAGCAGCACCAAUUGACAGUCAUUCAUCAAACCUUCAAUCAAAGAGCUAAACCCUGAAUGGCACAAGUAGCAGCCCACACUAGCGUUUGCCAAAAUAAGCGGCUGUUGAACCCAACCUGAGUGCAAAAUCCCUCUAUCCUUCACCCUCUCCAAGAACCCUUUCGGCAAAGCCCGGUUUAGCUCGGCCUGAGUAUCAACUCCGGCAGGAAAAUUCAGAACCAGAAUAAAUGGCAAACCAGUGAGUUCCAAUCCAAGAGCAAGUUGCUCUAUCUGAUUAUCGUCCAAGAAUGUUUCACUGCCAAAAGAGCAAAAGAUGACUGAUCCUAGAGGAAAUUGGCCCAACCAUUUAGCCCAUUUCUCCUCCAGCACCCCAGAUGCGGGCUCGGGAACUAAUGGUCCGGUUAAGAGAACCGGUUUCUGGUGUUGUGUUUUCAUGAAAUCCACGUACGGACCUUCCAUUUCAUUGCAGGUUUUAAUGGCCAGGGCAGUGCAGCCACUGAUGCUUUGACAAACUCUAUGGUAUGCACUGGGACCACCGUCAAAGCUCUUAUAUAAAUACCAAAAAUCUUGAGCCUGAAAUGUUUGCACGGAGGUAACUAAGGUCAAAGGAAAUCCAUUUGGGGGUUUCGAAAUAUCGUCAACAGUGGGAAUUUUAUUUCCAGGAUCCCUGGCAGGAACAGUAAGGAAAGCGCCAGAAAUAGCAGAGAAAACGGAAAAACACACUGUUUUGAUACCAAGUUCUGAGGCAAGUUUUGGAAGCCAAUAUUGAGCGAAAUCAAUGAAGACGAAAUCAGGGUUGAGUUGAGAUAGUAGGGUCUUGAUUUGAGGCUGCAUGAGAUCUAAGGCCUUCUUAAGGAGCUCAGCCAUGUGUGGUGUCAUUUCUGAAGUGCUGUCAAGGCCUGGAGGGAGACCCUCAACUGGAGGGAGCUGAAUAGGGAUGAUUUGGGCAUUGGGAGUGAGAAGAAGAGAGGAUUUGAUGCGUGGAAUGUUACCAGGAGCUGAGAGAAAAGAAACUCUAACUCCAUGGAGAGAAAGCUUGUUAGAUAGCUGAACAAAUGGGCUUAUGUGACCAAAUGCAAAAUAUGGAAACAUCAAAACGUGAAGCUCAGCAGCCGAUUGCUUAUUCAUCUCUCUCUCUCUCUCU
This 1672-nucleotide unclassified non-coding RNA is filed under the name Hevea brasiliensis (rubber tree). The record is from RNAcentral. Lineage: Eukaryota; Viridiplantae; Streptophyta; Magnoliopsida; Malpighiales; Euphorbiaceae.